This 27472-nucleotide long non-coding RNA is filed under the name Malus domestica (apple). RNAcentral's name for it is "long non-coding RNA (MDOM_LNC003533)". Lineage: Eukaryota; Viridiplantae; Streptophyta; Magnoliopsida; Rosales; Rosaceae. The record is from RNAcentral.
UAAUUUACAUCUCAUUUGGUUCUCAGAACACAAUCAGUGCAACCCAAAUGAUGGAAUUGACUGUUGGGUUGGAAGAAAUCGGAAAGCCUUUUGUUUGGGUCAUAAGGCCUCCGGUGGGGUUUGAUGUGAAGGGAGACUUCAAAGCAGAGUGGCUGCCUGACGGGUUUGAGGAAAGAAUGAGUAAACGAAAACAGGGGUUGCUAGUGCACAACUGGGCACCCCAGUUGGAGAUUUUGUCAUACAAAUCCACUGGGUUUUUUGUGAGCCAUUGCGGGUGGAAUUCAGUGAUGGAGAGCUUGAGCCAGGGCGUGCCGAUUGUGGGGUGGCCGUUGGCGGCGGAGCAGGCUUACAAUUCGUAGAUGUUGGUGGAGGAGAUGGGUGUGAGUGUGGAGCUGACAAGGGGUGUGCAGAGUUACAUUGGAUGGAAGGAGGUGAAGGAGGUGAUUGAUUUGGUGAUGGAUGAGAGUGGGAAGGGAGGGGGAUGAGGAAAAAUGCCGGUGAGAUUAAGGAGAAAUUAAGAAGAUCAAUUAGAGAUAAUGAUGGUGAUCAAGGAAAGGAGAAGGGGUCUCCUGUCAAGGCCAUGGAGGAUUUUGUGGCUGCUCUUUUAUCAAAGAAACAAGAUUGAUCAAAAGUUAAUUAGAGGUGAUUAGGUUACUGGUAAUUUCAACUCAAUUGAGAAAUUCCUAUUGUUUGCAAAUGGAUAGGUUUUGAUUCAAAAGACGUUAAUCAAUGUUUGAUACUCUAGAAAGUUAUUUUGCUUUUGUUAUCUAUGAAAACUCGGAAAAGAACCAUACAUAAAAUGCCAAAGCCUAUUGGUCGAAAUGCCCCUAAAAUUACUAUUGAGUUUUAGUUUACCCGCUAAAACUGGUCUUAUCUCACUUUACCUCCUGAAAAUGACAUUUUCAACUCUUUUGUCUCACUUUACCCACUUUCAUUAAUGGACUGUUAAAUUUAAGGGUAUUUUAGACAUUUCAAUUUUUACACAUUUAUUUACCUUUAGCCCCCACACUAAACAAGUCUCAAUUUUAUUUUUGACAACUCUAAUUCAAACGUAUAGAUUUUGAGCAUUUAAAAAAAAAAAUUAUUCUUGAGAAAAAUUUCAAUCAACAAAAUCAUUCUAUCAACCAAAAUAAAGUUUACACUUGUUCGUAGAGUCAUUUCAUUUGUAAAGCAUCCAUGUAUUGGCUCGAAACUUUGCAACUGAAAAAUAUUCAUUACAACAAAAUCAUUAUGCAUUUAAGCUGACCUAUCCAAAAUACUUCUCAAACCAAAAAAGUAAUUUCAAGCAAAUGUGCACAGUUUGAACAAGCUCAUGCCUAGUGGAAUCAGUGCUCAACAAUGUGAAAUUUUUUUGUUUAAACUGUGCAAAUUUGCUUUAAAUGAUUUUUUUGGUUUGGGAAGUAUUUUGGAUAGGAUAGCUUAAUGGUAUAAUGAUUUUGUUGUAAUGAAUAUUUUUCAAUUACAAAGUUUCGAGCCAAUACAUGGAUGUCUUGCAAAUGAAAUGAUUAUACGAACAAAAUGUAACCCUUAUUUUGGUUGAUACAAUAAUUUUGUUGCUCAGAAUUUUUUUAUUGAUUGAAUAAUUUAUUUUCAAAAAUGCCCAAAAUUGAUGCGUUUGAUUUAGAGUUGUCAAAAAUAAAUUUGAGACUUGUUUUAGUGUGGGGGCUAGAGGUAAAUAAAUGUGUAAAAACUAAAAUGUCUAAAAUACCCUUAAAUUUAAUAGUUCAUUAACGAAGUGGCUAAAGUGAGAUAAAAGAGUUGAAAAUGUCAGUUUAAGGGGGCAAAGUGAGACAAAACCAGUUUCAGAGGAUAAACUGAGACUCAAUGGCAGUUUUAGGGGGCAUUUCAACUAAUAAGCCAAAUGCGAAUGAUAUUUUUAAAGUGUUAAUAACAUUUAGGAUUCACACAGAAAAAUUAAUGAAAAACAAGGUGCAAAAUUGAAUGCAGUGACAUUUUAGAAUUCAUGUGGCUAACACCACUUAAUGGCAUAAGACUUUGUUGUUAUUGUUGUUUGUUGAUAACAUCUUUUUAUUAUGGAUGAUGCUAGAGAAACUAAUGCUUUAAAUCAUUUUUUGUAAAACCCAUGAUGUGACGAUUGAUGGUUGAACUCUUUUUAUAACCAUUUUUGGCUUGCAAAGGGAUAGGUUUUGUUUCAAAAGAUGUUAGGGGUGAGAGAGUUGUAAUUGCUUCAAUUUCUCACCCUCUCUUCAGUCUUCUCCACCCUCUUCAAGAGUUUCUCCCUCCGAUUGCUGUUUUAAGAGUCGACGGCCGGGGCAUUUUCUUUUUACUUUAUGUGUUCAUUUAUCAUCCUAGUCCCCAUCUUGCACCCCUUUUCCCUCAACCCCAGACCUUCCAUAUUUCCACCACCAACCUACAUAUCCGUCCAUUUCAAUCAUUUUCUUCCCUACCAUCUUCCUUUUCCCUUAACCAAACAGCAGGUCUUAAAUUUUUGGGUUGCCUUCUAUUUGAUGAUUUUAUUGGUUGUUUUUACAUUUGGGACUAUCGCUUUUGAUGCCUUCUUGUUUCUGUUUACUGUUGGUGCCGUUCUUCGACCUUACCACAUUUGUGGAUUUCACAUCUUCGGUGGUGGGUUUAGUCAAGGGUCUCAUUUGACCCAUCCUUUGAUCGAUUGAGGAUGACGCCGGUUGUUGGCCCAUGUUGGAUGCUACAACACCAUCCUUUCCAGAUCUAUUGUCGAGGCUUCGGUCUCUUCUUUGAUGCUCGGGGUUUCUUGCGGCGGCUGUGGCAGGAAGGUUGCUGAAGUUGUCAGGGUUUUUGUGUGUUUUGGUUUUUUUUCUGUUGUGGGCUCCAAUGUCUGUAUUGGGCUCUUACAUUUGUUUAUAUGGAGGGUCCAACCUAAUGUCUUGUGUUUAAUUUUGUAUUUGGGCUUUCUUUACUGUAAUAUUUCUUUGUUAAAAGUACAAAGAAAAGCCUGCACAUGGCUAAUGGUUGGUUUGGUAUUGAUGUGCUUUGAAAAAAAACUGUUUCUGUUGUACUGUGAGAAUAAGCUCAUUUUUGCUGCUUCACGUUUUCAGCCUUUUUUCACCAAAAAUUGUGAAAAUAAGCUGUUUUUAAGUGUUAAUCAAACAUCUUUUUCAGCUCAAUUUUUUUUGAUAUCCAUUUUUUAUAAAAACACCUCAGUACCAAACCAGUAUUAAGAGGGUAGGGUUAAAACUUGGAACAAAUGCCCUCACAUUAUGUUCACAUGUGUAAGCUACAUAUCUAAACUUGUGAAAAUUGAAUCUAUAUGAAUUAAAGUGGAACUUUAUUCAACGUAAAAAUCGACCUUUCACUUUAAGGCACCUUAGUAAUUAUAAGGGGUGUGCUAUCCACACAUCCCAUUUUACUUCUCACACAUCUCUUGAUAAUUUUUGUCCGUUGAUUUUCUUCAUUUCAUCCGAUUCGACGGUUGAAAAUAAAAAAAUGUGUGAAAAGUAAAAUGAAUAAUGCUUUUACGAGUCACACACCCCUAAUUAUAAUGCUUAUACACUCGUAAAUUUCUAAACUAUAAUUUUGUUUCACUCCACUCUUAUCCCGUUUGGUAAACAUACCAUUAGAAAACUAAUUUCAAAUUGCGACGUUGAAGAUAGAAGAUGAAAUAUUCAUUCUCGAAAGUUAUCACUUAAAAGUCUACAAUUAUCUGCGACGUACGCAACGCAAUCUUAGAAAUGGAAGAGCAUGCAUCACAUUGAAGCAGAACUGAACUACAAACCAAAAUAUAUAAUUAGUUUCAACGUGACUCACAACCUUGCUCUUUUUGUUUAUACAGCAGACCUAUUUAGGGAAAUAAUGUAUCUGGUCGGUCGGGUGCAUACUGCAUUGGCUUCCAACUUCUAACGUGGCAAUGUCGGUCAGUAUCACAAUAUGUCAGGAUAUUUGUGAUGCCAUUUCCUCCACGUCGGUCCGUUUUUUUGCACAAACUAGAUGUCAAUCAAAUCCAAGUCUGUAUUGCUUUUGCUUGCAUAACCCAACUUUUGUUUUAGUUCCCCACCAACGCAUAUUGAUUUGUUAAAAUUCCCUUCGAAAAUAAGGUAAAUGAAUGAAUUAAAGAAAAAUAUAUUUUUUCAAGAAUAGUAAGAAUUUUUUUUUAAAAUAAGACUCUUAAUAGAUUAUCUCACAGUUUAACGUUAAUUUUCAUAUCAACAUUAUAACACAUUGCAUCAAAAUAUAAGUUAACAAAUAGUUCAUAGAGAGUCAUUUUUCGGAUCAACCUCCUUAACAUUUUACUUGAUAAAAGUAUUAAAUUACCUGAUAAUCAAGAAUUCUAAAAACAGAAAAUAACUAAUAAUGUAAUAAGAAUAUCAUUUUACUUGAUAAAAGUAUUAAAUUACCUGCUAAUCAAGAAUACUAAAAAUAGAAAAUAACUAAUAAUGUAAUAAGAAUAUCUGUUCCAUGAUGGAACAAGUAUAAGAUUUUUAUUUUUUAUUCAUGAUAUUUUUGGCAUUUUUGGUUAUUCAAAUUAAUCUAGUGCAGCAAGUAGUAGAUUAUUUUAGUUGUUCAACAUCAUGUCUCAGAUUCAAAUUCCUUUUCUAAGAUAGUAAUAUCACUCGUACUAAAAUAUAAUUAAUUUAGUGUAAACAAUAAUGUUAGAUAAAUCAAUUUUUAAGACUAAAUAUGUAAAUCAUGUGAUGUGUCAUCAAUAAGAAAUAAACACAUUAAUCAACACUUAAGUAAUAAUCAAAUUAACAACUACGUCAUAUAAAUUCCAAAUUUAGUUAAAAUAGUCGAUAUUUCUAGUAUUAUUCUAACGUAAAACAUCGUUAGAUUAAAAUGUAACAAAAAUGUAUAUUAUCAAUGAUACGAUAAUUUUUUUAUUAUGAUCGGAACACGAGUAAUAUUCCACAUAUUUUUAUAUAAGUGGUGGUUAAUUUUAUUUUUUAAGUUAUUAACUUUUUAACACACAUAUCCUACAAUUUAUAUAAUAACACAUAAUAUAACACCAUUGUUCCUAUCAUACUGGAAAAUAUCUCCAAUGAUACAUCCAAACAACAAAAAUCCCAAAAACCAAAAUAAAAUGGGAUUUUUGUUGAGAGCAUAUAAUUCAUUCGGUUCUGCCAUUCAAUUCCAUUCCAUUCAUAUGAUAUAUAUAUAUACAUGGUUUAAAAUAUCCAUAAUAUCUCGAUAUUUCCAUCGAAAUUUCCGUGUUUUUGGACUACCGAUAUUUCCGAUAUCAUCGAUAUUUUAGACCUUACUAAGUUACUCAUGUAUCUUACCAUACAAUGUAUAAAGUGUAAAAUAUUGUACUAAUUCAUUAUAUAUAAAUGAUUAUGGUGUGUUUAAACUUUUUUGAUUAGUUACUACAUAUUUUCUACCCUCAUAAUGUUUGCUAGCUUACUAUAUAAUCAACUUAAAUCAGUUAUAUCUAUCAUGCAAUGCAUUUCCUUCCAAUUUUUUUGUGAUAACUAAUAGAUAAUUGACUAAAUAAACAUCCUGCAAAGUUUCAAUAAAAAUUUUCAAGUUUUUCUUACAUUUUCCGUAGUUUUUAUUUAAUUUUUAUCGAUAUCGAUAAUAUCCCGAUAUUUCCAUCAAAAUUUCUGUGUUUUUAAACUACCGAUAUUUCCGAUAUUAUCGAUACUUUAUACCUUAUAUAUAUACAUAUAUGCUCAUUGCUAAACCUCUCACCCUUACCGACCUCUGAAAAAUAGCAUACAUUCUUUUUCUGCCUCCUCCUCCUCACCAUUACAGAUAACUCACAAAAUCCUCAGGAUAAAAAUAUGGGGUUUGAGAGAGAGCAUAUUGUGAUGCUGCCGUUCAUGGCGCAAGGCCAUAUCAUACCAUUCCUAGCACUUGCAAAGCAAAUCCAGGAGUUAACAAACUUCACAAUCACCAUCGCCACCACCCCUCUCAACAUCAAAUCCCUCCAAUCCACCAUUUCCACCGCCUCAUCCAAUCACAACAACAUCCACUUGGCCGAACUUCCCUUCUGCAGCUCAGACCACGACCUGCCCCCCAACACAGAAACCACCGAGAACCUCCCCUUCCCCAAAAUCAUCAACCUUUUCGCCGCUUCAGUCGCCCUUGAACCUCCAUCCCGCCGCCUUAUCUCCGAUAUCAUCGAAAAAGAAGGCCGCCCGCCGCUCUGUUUGAUCUCCGAUGUUUUCUUCGGAUGGGCUACUGAUCUUGCAAACAGCUUAGGCACUGUCAAUGUGAGUUUCACCACAGGCGGGGCUUACGGCUCUGCAGCCUACACAUCAAUAUGGCUCAACCUGCCUCACCGCUCCGCAAGCAACGAAUACUUCACCCUCCCCGGCUUCCCGGAACGCUGCAGGUUCCACAUCUCUCAGCUGCAUCCGUUUCUAAGAGCUGCAGACGGCACAGAUUCUUGGUCAAGAUUUUUCCAGCCUCAGAUUUCGGGUUCUACAAAAUCUUUUGGUUGGCUGUGUAAUACUGUGGAGGAAAUUGAGCCGUUGGGAUUGGAUAUCUUGAGGGAUUACUUGAAGCUUCCUGUUUGGUGCAUUGGUCCUCUAAUUCCUACUGAUGCACUCAAAAACUCAUCCACAUUGGACUUAAAGGUCUCGAGGCAGCGCGCCGGAAAAGAAAUGGGCUUUUCGGCCGAGAAAUGCCUCGAGUGGCUUGACUUGCAAGGUCCGAAUUCUGUAAUUUACAUCUCAUUUGGUUCUCAGAACACAAUCAGUGCAACCCAAAUGAAGGAAUUGGCUGUUGGGUUGGAAGAAAGCGGAAAACCUUUCGUUUGGGUGAUAAGGCCUCCGGUGGGGUUUGAUCUGAAGGGAGAGUUCAGAGCAGAGUGGCUGCCUCAUGGAUUUGAGGAGAGAAUGAGUAAACGAAAACAGGGGUUGCUAGUGCACAACUGGGCACCCCAGUUGGAGAUUUUGUCACACAAAUCCAUAGGGCUUUUUGUGAGCCAUUGUGGGUGGAAUUCAGUGAUGGAGAGCUUGAGCCAGGGCGUGCCGAUUGUUGGGUGGCCGUUGGCGGCGGAGCAGGCCUAUAAUUCGAAGAUGUUGGUGGAGGAGAUGGGUGUGAGCGUGGAGCUGACAAGGGGUGUGCAGAGUAAUAUUGGAUGGAAAGAGGUGAAGGAGGUGAUUGAUUUGGUGAUGGAUGAGAGUGGGAAGGGAGGGGAGAUGAGGAAGAAUGCUGGUGAGAUUAAGGUGAAGAUAAGAAGAUCAAUUAGAGAUGAUGAUGGUGAUCAAGGAAAGGAGAAGGGGUCAUCUGUCAAGGCAAUGGAGGAUUUCGUCGCUGCUCUUUUAUCAAAGAAACAAGAUUUGUCAAAAAUUAAUUAGUGGUGAUUGUGUUACUAGUAAUUUAUUAACUAGUUUCUGUAUUGAAAUUGAAAUAAUAACAUUGUGACUUUCCUAUAUGGUCAAUGUUUGCCACUUUGAAAAGUUAUUAUGCUUUUGUUAUAUCUGGGAAAAUAUGGACAUGAACUAUACAUAAAAUGCCAAUGAUAUUUUUAAAGCUUUAAUAGCAUCUAGGACCAACAACAACAACAACAAAGUCUUUUCCCACUAAGUGGAGUCGGCUAUAUGAAUCCUAGAACGCCAUUGCGCUCGGUUUUGUGUCAUGUCCUCCGUUAGAUCCAAGUACUCUAAGUUUUUUCUUAGAGUCUCUUCCAAAGUUUUCCUAGGUCUUCCUCUACCCCUUCGGCCCUGAACCUCUGUCCCGUAGUCACAUCUUCGAACCGGAGCGUCAGUAGGCCUUCUUUGUACAUGUCCAAAUCACCGGAACCGAUUUUCUCUCAUCUUUCCUUCAAUUUCGGCUACUCAUACUUUACCUCGGAUACCCUUAUUCCCAAUCUUAUCCUUUCUUGUGUGCCCACACAUCCCACGAAGCAUCCUCAUCUCUGCUACACCCAUUUUGUGUACGUGUUGAUGCUUCACCGCCCAACAUUUUGUGCCAUACAACAUCGCUGGCCUUAUUGCCGUCCUAUAAAAUUUUCCCUUGAGCUUCAGUGGCCUACGACGAUCACACAACACGCCAGAUGCACUCUUACACUUCAUCCAUCCAGCUUGUAUUCUAUGGUUGAGAUCUCCAUCUAAUUCUCCGUUCUCUUGCAAGAUAGAUCCUAAGUAGCGAACGGUCGCUUUUUGUGAUAUUCGCUAGAUUGCUCCGGUCAUUAGUGUGGAUAAGUAUAUAAAUGGAUAGAGAUAGGAAAGCAAACACAAGAUGUACGUGGUUCACCCAGAUUGGCUACCUCUACGGAAUAGAGGAGUUCUCAUUAAUUGUGAAGGGUUUACACAACUACAUAGGUUCAAGCUCUCCUUUAGUGAGUACAAGUGAAUGAUUUAGUACAAAUGACAUUAGGAAAUAUUGUGGGAGAAUGAUCUCGUAAUCACGAAACUUCUAAGUAUCGGAGUGUGGUAUCGUCUUGACUUGCCUUAUCUGUCUCAUAGGUAGAUGUGGCAUCUUCUCUGGAAGUACUCUUCCUCCAUCCAGGGGUGGUAUCUUUAACUGGUGGAGAUGCACAAGGUAAUGUAUCAAUUUCACUUGAAGCUUACUUGUAGUUUCAGGCUUGGUCAAGUGCGAUACAAACCAUGUAGUAGGAGUCCCCCAAGUCGCCGAGCUAGGGGAUCUGCUGAAAGAGGUGACAGACAAGGUAAGUAAUCAGAGCUCCGGCUGAUUGUUCACAUUCUCCCUAUCUUGCAGGCAGCAUGAAGGAUAAAGAGAAGAAAAAUGAGAAGAGAUGAUAUGGGAUACUUUUGCUUUUGAGGAAAUAACUUUCCACAGGCUUAUUCUUGAACUGAGCUGGAGGGUUUUUUGGUUUCCUCCAGAGUAUAAGGCCAACUGAAGAAUUUGAGGGUCAAAACAAGUCCAUCAAAUCUAGAGUACGUUCGACCCUGCUGAUAUGGGAUACUUUUGCUUUUUGACAAAGUAGUGGAUGUAUCGGCACGUGUGCUGUUACGCUUGUCUCCACAUGCUUCCUUGUAUCCUUCUCACUUGCCCUAUAUGUUCCUCAGGCAGAUGCGGUAUUUUCCCUGGAAGCAUAAGAUGUUGAAGAUGAGUACUCGAGAGCAAUGCUAGGUAAGUAAUCAGGUAAGGGGUUCCAGGCAGUCAGUUCCUGGCUGGAAUCUUGAUUCCAAGUGCUGACUGAUUGCUCUCUUUCUCCUUGUCUUGCAUGUAAGAACAAGGCCAAAGGAAAAGACAGGGAAAAAGCAUGAUAUGAGAUACUUUUGCUUUUAACCCUGAUGAUAUGAAAUAUUCUUGCUCUAGUAUAGCUUGUUUGCAGAGGUAUUAUCGGGGGGAAAGAAAACUGAAGAUUUCGAAAGGCUUCGUUGGGAGUGCCCUCUCAGAUAUGAGGAAGGGUUGAGCAUUUUUGCAGGUCUGCCUGUCCGUUGGGGAUGGAGGUCGACAUAUAUAGGAGUCUCCCUAACAACAAGUAGUAAUGCUAUUCCUUUACCCUGCUUGGUCAUAGCACGGUAGUGGGAGCUGCCAGCUUCACAUGUUUUAACUCUGUCAGAGCACUUUGAAAAAGUGGUCUAUGGUAUCUGGAAAGCUGAUGUUGCGUGUGAAGAUUACAAACAAACUUUAUCCAAGGAGAUCCGGCUCUUGAAGUUGGGAAAACGGUGCCUCUUCGAUUUUCGAACAAGCAAUCCUAUCGGGGAUCUGGCUCUCGAGAUUCGGAGAACGAUGCCUCUUCGGUUUUUUAGAAAGCAAUCUUGUUGGGAGUGUUUUCUUGAAUGUGAGUAAAGGUUGGGCAUGUUUGCUAGUCUACCUUGCCAUGAAGCAUAGAGGUUGACACACAGGGACUUUCCAAUUAUCCAGCAAUGGUACUGUUCCUUUACCCUCUCUUCGAUUUUUGAGAAAGUAGUCAUGUUGGGAGUCUGGCUCUCGAGAUUCAGAGGACGGUGCUUCUUCGAUUUUGGAGCAAGCAAUCUUGUUAGGAGUGUUUUCUCUAAUGUGAGUAAAGGUUGGGCAUGUUUGCUAGUCUACCUUGCCACGAAGCACAGAGGUUGACACACAGGGACUUUCCAAUUAUCCAGCAGUGGUACUGUUCCUUUACCCUUGUGGGUAAUAAUAUGGUAGCUAGACCUUCAAAAUUUAUGUGUCUAAACUUUGUUAGUGCUGUUUCUUUGCUAUUCUUUUACCCUUCUUGGUCAGAGCGAUGUAGUGGGAGCUGCAAGCUUCACGUGUCUCAACUUUGGCAGAGAACUUUGACAAAGUUAUCUGUGGUACCCAUGAGCUACUGUUGCGUGUGGGAAGUGGAUGAUUGAACAGUAAGAUUCAUGUGCUUUCUACUUCACCAGAAGUCUUCGACAGAAUGCCCAUAAUUUCCGCAAAGCUGAGUGUGCGUGUGACAGGUGCUAACAAGGUUGGAAAAGUAGGUGCCUCUUCGAUUUCUGAGAUCGGCCUCGUGGUCUCUGAGCAGCUCAGCUUUUGAGAAAGCAAGCGCCUCUUCGAUUUCUGAGAUCGGCCUUCAUGGUCUUUGAGCAGCCCAGCUUUUGAGAAAGCAAACGCCUCUUCGAUUUCUGAGAUCGACCCUCGUGGUCUCUGAACAGCCCAGCUUUUGAGAAAGCAAACGCCUCUUCGAUUUCUGAGCAGGCGCCUCUUCGAUUUCUGAAGCUCCGUCGAGUGCAGAUUUUUAUAGGGGUUGGCAUUAAGUUCCAAAGCACACUUAAAUCUCCACCAGUAGAAGCUCCAUUCUUGCACUUCUAAGAUCUUGAUUUGUCCGACCUCUUCUCUCUUCAACACCUUUGAAAAUGUCUGGCCCCUCCGACCGUCGUUUUGACUUGAACCUUGUUGAAAAGGCAGCACCGCCUUCUCCAGACAACAUAUGGUGCCCAUCCUUCGUCUCCCCUACUAGUCCUCUUACCGUUGGGGAUUCCGUCAUGAAGAAUGAUAUGACCGCUGCGGUGGUGGCCAGGAACCUUCUCACUCCCAAAGAUAACAGACUACUUUCCAAACGGUCUGAUGAAUUAGCUGUUAAGGAUUCUCUGGCUCUCAGUGUUCAGUGUGCAGUUUCUGUGUCUAAUAUGGCCCAACACCUAUUUGCUCGAACCCGCCAAGUUGAAUCAUUGGCGGCUGAAGUGAUGAGUCUCAAAUAGGAGAUUAGAGGGCUCAAGCAUGAGAAUAAACAGUUGCACCGGCUCGCACAUGACUAUGCUUCAAACAUGAAGAGGAAGCUUGACCAGAUGAAGGAAUCUGAUGGUCAGGUUUUACUUGAUCAUCAGAGAUUUGUGGGUUUGUUCCAAAGACAUUUAUUGCCUUCGUCUUCUGGGGCUGUACCGCGUAAUGAAGCUCCAAAUGAUCAACCUCUGAUGCCUCCUCCUUCUAGGGUUCUGUCCAGUACUGAGGCUCUGAAUGAUCCCCCUCCGGUGCCUUCUCUUUCUGGGGCUCUACCGACUGCUGAGACUUCUCCUAAGCAACCUUUGUGAAGGCUCCCUCUUGUUUGUUUAUUUUGACUCAUGUAUAUGUACAUAUUUGUAACUUAUCGGGGAUAUCAAUAAAUAAGAUUUCCUUCAUUUCAACGUAUUGUGUUAAAUACACCAAAGUCUUCUUCGCUAAGUUCUUUGAAUUUUCUUUUGUUGAAGCUUGUAUGUUGAAGCUUUAUGAGUGGAGCAUGUAGGUUGAGGUAGUGUUCCCUUAAUUUCCCGAGUGAGGAAAACUUCUCGGUUGGAGACUUGGAAAAUCCAAGUCACUGAGUGGGAUCGGCUAUAUGAAUCUUAGAACGCCAUUGUGCUCGGUCAUGUGUCAUGUCCUUCGUUAGAUCCAAGUACUCCAAGUCUUUUCUUAGAGUCUCUUCCAAAGUUUUCCUAGGUCUUCCUCUACCCAUUUGGCCCUGAACCUCUGUCCCAUAGUCAAAUCUUCUAAUCGGAGCGUCAGUAGGCCUUCUUUGCACAUGUCCAAACCACCGUAACCGAUUUUCUCUCAUCUUUCCUUCAAUUUCGGCUACUCCUACUUUACCCCGGAUAUCCUCAUUCCUAAUCUUAUCCUUUCUCGUGUGCCCACACAUCCAACGAAGCAUCCUCAUCUCCGCUACACCCAUUUUGUGUAUGUGUUGAUGCUUCACCUCCCAACAUUUUGUGCCAUACAGCAUCGCCGGCCUUAUUGCCGUCCUAUAAAAUUUUCCCUUGAGCUUCAGUGGCAUACGGCGGUCACACAACACGCCGGAUGCACUCUUCCACUUCAUCCAUCCAGCUUGUAUUCUAUGGUUGAGAUCUCCAUCUAAUUCUCCGUUCUUUUGCAAGAUAGAUUCUAGGUAACGAAAACGGUCGCUCUUUGGUAUUUCUUGAUCUCCGAUCCUCACCCCUAACUCGUUUUGGCCUCCAUUUGCACUGAACUUGCACUCCAUAUAUUCUGUCUUUGAUUUAGGGUUCUGUCCCAUACAAAAAAAAAUAAAAAAAUAAAAAAUAAAAAGCGCUAACCGAAGACUUUGCUAAAAAACGAAGGAUUCAUGCGGGUGACACCACUUAAUAAGAUAAGGUUUUGUUGUUUGUUAAUAACAUCUUCUUUUUCUUUAUGAGUGAUAAUAGAGAGAUUAACUUUUUAGAUUAUCUUUUGUAAAAAAUAUGAUGUGGCGAUUAAUAGUUGAACUCUUUCUUGUUUAUCAAUAAAUUUUCCUGAAAGUCACUUUCUAUGAUAACAAUGCUGGAAUGGGAUGGACUUUGUGGCCAAAUUGAAAAGAAAUUUUUUUUACAAAAAGAGUUCAACCAUCUGUCAUAUUAUGAAAUCUACAAAAAAAUAAUCGAAAACAUUUAAUCUUUUUAACAUUUUCCUUUUGUUAUUAGUGUAACAUCUCAAGUUUGAUGAUUCUCUAAAAAUACGUGUGAGCUACAUGUCUAAAUUUGUGAAAAUUGAUUGGAAUAGUUUUCCCUCUCUAGUGAGAGUCUUUCUCGGUUUUAGGGAUUUUUUCUCAUCCCUUUGUGUGAGGCCUCUAAAUUGAGCAAAACUGGUGGCGAGGAUCCUAACUUUGGCCGAGGUCGGUUGCCGUCCUCCCCUUUCUUUCCUUCUUGUAUUUUUUCCUUGCUUUUACUAUUUUUUCACCUUGGUUGUUAUACUUAUAUGUCCUGCUUCUCUUUUCCAGACAGUAUCUAUCCUUUGUGUUCAUCCAUAUUCCGAUUUUCAGUCAUACAACCUACUGAGAUUGUGUGUAGAGCUCUAGUUAUUUCACUGGCUCGAGUGUUUCGAACACGUUCGUGGAUCUCCACGGACUUAUCUUGAUAGUUGGCUUCUCUCGUUUGGUUGAUGGCUAUCCUUACUUUAUGACUGUGCUUCGGAAACAGAUUGGAGUUGGAUGUGACAUUUGGUGAGGUGUUGCUUGGCUGUGGAAGAGGAAUUGGACAGAUUGGGAUGAUCUUUGGCUGCGGAGGAAACGGUAGAAAUUUCUAGGCUCGGUGUUCGUGUUUUGCUUUUUCGGCCUAAUUGUAUCUUACCUCUUGUAGUGUGUUGUUCUGUUUUGGCCCCCUUUAUUUAUGUUAAUAUGUUAGCUUUGGGCUUUGUCUGUCUGUAAAAAAAAUUUAUUUUGUAAUAAAAAGUACUUAAAAAAAAAACUUGUGAAAAUUGAAGCUAUAUGAAUUAAAGUGGAUCUUUUUUUUUUUUUUUUUUUUUUUGUAAGAAAACAAACUUAGUUAAGAUAAGGGGAGAAUUACAAAUGUGACUGAUGGACUAAGUCCAAACAAAAUACAAAACCCUUAAAAAGCAAAGACAGAUAUAAUAAAAGAGUAAAAAGGCUCAAGCAAUAGGAGAAUUACAACCUAAGAUACAAUGGGAGACCCACACAAACUUAGGUCCAGAUGCAGCAAAAACAAAGAACAAUAGAGAAACCCUAAAAGUGAUAAUAACUGUAACCAUUUGAUCAAAUUUCAACAAUUCAGAUUCCGAACUAGGUUGAUUAGGUAGAAAGGGAUCCGAGGAUCCCUUUCCAAUACAUAAAAUGCUGAACUAUUUUGUUUUACAGCUAAUUAACAUGAAGUUUUCUCAAAAAGUUGUUAUCCCAAACCAAUUGGGCACUCUCUCCCUCUUUCCCUUCAACUCACUCUAAUUUAAUAAAAAGGGCAUUACUUGAUUCAUGUCCACUCCAUGCAACUGUAAAGCUGGCAUCUUUGGGCCUCGUUUGGUAUACGUGAGUGAAUAUGCUGAGGCGAUUAAACACUUGAACCCAGGGCUUUUGGUUCACCAAGGGCUUAUAUAAGAGGGAUGCGUACUUUUUAUAAAUGGUUGGACACGAAAGAGAAGAAAAAAAAGACUAUUUCCUAACGCUUUUUGUAACCUUUAUUCAAUAUAUACGGCAUCUCAAUGAACGUAACCAAGUUUUUUAGAGUGACCCACUUAAUCUAAUCCGUGUUGUUAGAUUUCUAUUGCUUUUACCCUGAGCCCACCAAACCACAGUGACCUUUGUUAACCUCCAAAUUUUGGCAUAACUGUGUCUAUUUUUGCUAUUGAAUGAAUAUGCCCAGUGUAGUUUUUAGUGAGGUUUUUUUUAGUUUAUCCAUAAGAAUUGCAGGAGCAAUUGUUCUAACUCUAUAUAUAAAUUUAUUACCAGCAAAAUUGUUUGGUAGUGACGAUGCUACCUCUUUAAUAAGCACCUCUUCUCUAGCCCGCGAUAAAAACUACCAUGCCCAUCCGUUAACAUGAUCUGGGACUUAUCGAAGUGACUUGCAGUGGUAGUUCGUUGCUGCCAUUUUCCGAGAGGUUCAUUCCAGAGCGUAUGUGAUAUGGCAGUCAUUCCGAUCAGCUUGAUCCGAUGGUCCGAAAUUCAUGAUCCCAUAUACCCUUCAAUGCUAAACAGUGAGACGGUGUAGAAAGUUCAUCUUUUGCAUUUGUAGAGGUAGAUAUAUUAAUUUUUUUGAGCGGAAAACUUACUAGAUUGGAGAUAUUUAGAGAACUAUUUUCAAAUUGUGACGUUGAAGGUAGAAGAUAGUAUUUAUUCGGAAAAGUUAUCACCUCUAAUUCCACAAUGUUUUUAGAGAGAGAAAUGCUAAAGAGACUCUCUCAAAGUAGGACUUUUUGCCACCUCAUAUUUUUUGCACAAUGUUUUAUAAUGUUAGUACGGGAAUUGUGCCAAAAUUAUGAGGUAAUAGAGAGUACAUGUAGAGUCUCACUUUUGAGAGUCUUUUUAGUAUUCUGAGAAAGGGACUUCCUCUCAGUCUCGACGUACGCAACGCAGCCUUAGAAAUGCAAAAGCAUGCAUGAUAUUGUUUCAACGUUGCAACCUUCCUCUUCCGCUUAUACAUCAAACCUAAUGAGGCAAAGAAGUGUAUCGGCUCUGGUGCAUUGACUUUUACCAUUCUCCGAACUUCAACUUCAAAUGUGGCAAUGUCAGACACUACAAGAAUUUCACAGGAUACAGCGUGGGCAUUGUGAAGGCAUUUCCUCCACGGAUCGCGAUCCAGAGUUGGCAUUGUGAAGGCAUUUCUAUUAAGGACAAUUCUCUUGUAAAAGAUAAAACUUAGUCUUGAUUAAUUCUGUUGUAAUCUGUUGAUAGUGGUGUGAUUAGUUAGGCUUAGUUUUUUAUGUAGUUAGGAUGAGUUGGCAGCACAAGUGUGUGCGCGCUAUGCCAUUGUAUAAAUACCAAGUGUAAGCUUAUUAUUUGAUAUAUAUGAAAAGAUAUUUUCUCAAUAAUUUCCUUCACGUCGGUCCUUCUUAACCCAAUUUUUGUUUUAAUUCCCAUCGACGAUUUGUUAAAAUCCUCAAUGUUUUCAUUACCGUCUACUUCAGUAGUUAGAAAAACUGAAAUUUUGAUAUUACCUUUGAAACUAUAUUUUCCUCUACUAAAACUCAUCUUUUUUUGUUUUCUUGAAUAAAACCCAUUGACUAGCCUCCAACUAAACAAAUUCUUUAAUUAAGUUUGACUUUUUAAAUUGUGUAUUUUCCGAAUGCCUAAACUAUCUGUCACAGCUCGUCCCGAGAUUUUCUUAUUAAGGACAUGAAAUGUCGGAUUUGACCUUAGCGCGGGCUAAGGUAAGUGUGUGUGACAUUAUUUGGAUUAUUUCUAUAUAAGUUUUGGAUUUAAAUUUUAGUUUUAUAAAAUUUUGGUUAGGGAAUUAGAUGAUGGAGGGUGAGGAUUUAAUGUUGGACCAUCUAAACCCCUGCACUCUCUCUCUUCUCGUGCACUCUCUCUCUCUCCUCCCUCACGGCUUCCUCUCUCUCUCUCUCACUCCCGAAGUGUACGGACGAGACCCAAAACCAUCCAAAACUCAGUGGAUCGAAGCAACCAAGGUAAGAUUCUUCAUCCUUGUGAUGCUCUGAGUUGUUUGAUGCUAGUUUUAGGACGUGGAACCUUCGAUAUCACGUGAACCCGAACCCCUCAUUUUUUGUCACUGUUCAUGCACACGUGAAAUGUUGUGUUUCAGGGAAUUCUAAGCUUAUAGUGAGCUUAGUGAUGUCCCAAGGAAGCUCGGAGUGCUUCGUUUGAAGGUUUUGGACGUCGGGAUCACUAGGUUCGAUUUUGGCCGGUUUUUCUUGGAAUUUUCCGGUGAGAUUUAGUUGUUUUUGGAGCUUAAAAGUAGUGUAUCGUGAUUUUACAUGUUUGGGGCUUCAUUUUGAUAUAAAAUACGAAGAAAAUGGGUGAGAAACGAAGGAGAACAAGGAGUUUCAAAGUUGGCCGGAAAUCGGCCGCCGGAAAGUUCAGUCCGGCGAGCCAAGGUUAGGGAUGAUGCGCGUGGGGGCGCGUGUCCCCGUGCCUGUCCCGGAGCGUGCGGCCUCCAAAAAUUUAUCUAAAAAUUUCUCGACGUCCGUGACGUCGAGUAGGUCGAUGUGGUAUAUUCAUAUACCCAAAUUGAGCAUCGUAUGAGAAGUUAUUUCGAAUUGUUGGUUAUGUGUUUAAAUUAACGUUUUUAUAGUUGUUUCGCAUAUAGGUGACACCUAUCCCGAGGACGAGCGCAUCCAGGGACGUCACGGGGGUUACGACCCAUCGACUUACCAGUGAGUGGGCAGUUUUGUUUUCGUAUUACCUAUAUAGUACUGUUUUUCCCAGGAAAUGCGUUUAUUUGAAAAUUAUGAUUUAAAUUGCCAUGCAUGCAAUUGUUGAGAUAUUUGGUUUGAUAAGUGAUGCGUUUAUAUGUGAAUUGACGCGGUGGACGCACAUGUGAGUUUUUAUAUUAUUUAGAUGAGUUAUUUUAUGUGAAUUGCAUUGAAAGCUCAUAACCUGCACCCUAGGUGUUAGUGCUUAUAUUAUUAUUCACCACACAACACGCUCGUCUUGGAUCCAAGUAGGUGGAUGUCGUACAGACCAUGUGAGGGUUCCGACAUGCUAGUCGUAUAGACCACUAGAUCUGAUUCCGACUAGUGGGUGACCUUAGUUAUGUUCGCCGAUGAUUGAUGAGAGAAGCACUAGAGCGUAUUUAUACACCUUUCAUCGUACAGACUACCAUAUGUAGUUCCGAGUGACGUGCAGAGUUGGGCCGUAUAGGUCACUGUGGUGACUCCGGCUGAGUGAGAUGUUGAGCUUUAGAAUCAGCCUUACAGGACCACUGUAGGGUCUCCGGUUGAUUUAUUAUUUCACCUGAUUGAUAUUGAUGCAUUCUGAUUAUAUUUUGGCAUGGCAUGACAUAUCCUUUCUGAGAUGUUAUGUUGAUGGAUGUGAGCUGAGUUUUGAUGAUAUAUAUAUAUAUAUAUAUAUAUAUAUAUAUACACACACUAUUUUCUAGGAAAGUAUACAGGUUUUACGGUGAGGGGUUAGAAAUGUUUUAAAUGAAAUGUUUUGGAAAAUCUUUGGUUUUACUGACCCACUCAUCUUUGUUUUGCGCUCCUCUAGGUUCUAGUUAGCAGUUGGUGGCUCUCGAGGUCUUUUUCGGCAUUCUGACAUACGCUCUACAUGUAGGACUCACCUGCGGGUGUUGUACUUUUUAUUAUGGUCCUACUUGACUGCACUUAGACCUAUGCUCUGAAUUUAUGUGUUUUACCUUAUAACUCAUCCUUUUAUUCUAGUAGGUUGUUACUACUAGAGAUUGGUUUAAAUUCCUUAUUAUUUCUGUUAUUGAUUUGCUUCCGUGUCGCACUUUUGGUUACGUCACACUCACGUGACGGCCAGCACGCCUUGAUCCUCUGGAUCGGGGUGUGUCAGUUUGGUAUCAGAGCCUAGGUUGCAGUCCUGUAUAAUUGUUAAUGCUUUAAUGAUCUUUUGAUGUUUUCUGUCAGAAUUAUGCCGCCUCAUAGAGAGCGUAGGGAGUCCCGCCGUACUCCUGAACCUAAUUUCCCGGAUAUCACUCAGUUGGGGGAAACAAUGGCUCAGGCUUUUCAGAAUGUAAUUCGUCCUCCUCCCCCUCCUCAGAGGACACCCUUGGAGACCAUGUACAAUCUGAAAUUAGAUCGUUUUAUGGGUGAUGAGGGUCACGAGGAGGCAGAGAAAUGGCUAGAUCAUAUUGAAAAGACGUUUCAGGUGAUGCAAAGUCAGGGGAACUUUCCGGCUGAUAGGUGGGUUGAGACCACUACCUGGUUUUUGGGUCGAGAGCUGGCAGGUUGGUGGAGGAAUCAGACGCAUUUUAUGUCCCCAGCUAUGGCAUCUGAUUGGGAGGUAUUUGAAGAUAAUUUCAAGAAAAGAUUUGUCCCUCCAGAGUAUAUUGAUCGUAAGAAACAGGAAUUUACUCGGUUGAAACAGAGGAAUAUGACAGCUCAUGAGUACUAUAGAAAGUUUACUGAUUUGUCUCGCUAUGACCCUGAUACAGCUGGUAAUCAGGGAGAGAUGCUUCGACGUUUCAAGUUAGGAACUAAGAGAAAGUGGCGGACUUUUGCCAGUGCACUUCCCUGCGCCGAUUACCAUGAGUUUUUCGAGAUUUUGGUUAGGAUGGAGGACUCUGAUAACCUUCCCAGUGAUAGUGAGGAUGACGAGGACAAGAAUGAUGGUCAGAAGAAGGAUGAUAAAGGUAAGGUUAUCUCUAUUCCGGAACCUCGCAAGACGCAGAAUUUUAAGAAGAGUGGAGCGAGUUCGAGUUCUUCUAGUGGUGGAUAUAGUAUUACUGGCCUGAUGAGAGGUGGUGGAAGAUUUUCUGGUGGGCCCAGAUUUCAAAGGCAGAGGGAUUCUGGUGGGGCUGUUGGUUCUGGCGCUCCGUGGUGCCGCCGUUGUAAUUUUUGUCAUCAUGGUGAGUGCAGAAGAGGUGGUGGUGCUUGUUUUACUUGUGGGCAAAUGAGACAUCGGGCUUCUCAGUGUCCCCAGGGUCAGCAGAGACCACAGCAGACCACUAUGCCACCUCCAGCGCCGAUUCAGCAGAGCUUUGGACCAGGCAGUUAUGGCCAGUCGGGUCAUGGUGGUGCCUACCAUUACCAGGGGGAUGCUGCUCCGUAUGCUCCCAGAGACCUUAUUAGUAUCCCCAGGAGCCUUAUCCUCAGACGGGGUAUUCCCAGGACUUUGGGGGUUAUUCUUCUUAUUCAUCCAUGCCAGCUGGUGGAUCUCAGUGGCAUCAGGGAGGUCAGCCUUGUCAGGGGGAAGUUGCUGUUGGUGGUGCAGGAUCAUCUAGGUCGUCCAAUCAGCCAGGCCAGGGACGUACUUCUCAUAGGCGAGGUAAUCAAGGCGUGCUAGCCGUCACGUGAGCGUGACGUAACCAAAAGUGCGACACGGAAGCAAAUCAAUAACAGAAAUAAGAAGGAAUUUAAACCAAUCUCUAGUAGUAACAACCUACUAGAAUAAAAGGAUGAGUUAUAAGGUAAAACACAUAAAUUCAGAGCAUAGGUCUAAGUGCAGUCAAGUAGGACCAUAAUAAAAAGUACAACACCCGCAGGUGAGUCCUACAUGUAGAGCGUAUGUCAGAAUGCCGAAAAAGACCUCGAGAGCCACCAACUGCUAACUAGAACCUGGAGGGGUGCAAAACAAAGAUGAGUGGGUCAGUAAAACCAAAGAUUUUCCAAAACAUUUCAUUUAAGACAUUUCUAACCCCUCACCGUAAAACCUGUAUACUUUCCCAGAAAAUAGUAUAUAGACAUAUAUAUAUAUAUAUCAUCAAACUCAGCUCACAUCCAUCAACAUAACAUCUCAGAAAGGAUAUGCCAUGCCAUGCCAAAAUAUAAUCAGAAUGCAUCAAUAUCAAUCAGGUGAAAUAAUAAAUCAACCGGAGACCCUACAGUGGUCCUGUACGGCUGAUUCUAAAGCUCAACAUCCCACUUAGCUGGAGUCACCACAGUGACCUAUACGGCCCAACUUUGCACGUCACUCGGAACUACAUAUGGUAGUCUGUACGAUGAAAGGUGUAUAAAUACGCUCUAGUGCUUCUCUCAUCAAUCAUCGGCGCGCAUAACUAAGGUCACUCACUAGUCGGAAUCACAUCUAGUGGUCUAUACGACUAGCAUGUCGGAACCCUCACAUGGUCUGUACGACAUCCACCUACUAGAUCCAAGACGAGCGUGCGGUGUGGUGAAUAAUAAUAUAAGCACUAACACCUAGGGUGCAGGUUAUGAGCUUUCAAUGCAAUUCACAUAAAAUAAUCCAUCUAAAUAAUAUAAAAACUCACCUGUGCGUCCACCGCGUCAAUUCACAUAUAAACGCAUCACUUAUCAAACCAAAUAUCUCAACAAUUGCAUGCAUGGCAAUUUAAAUCAUAAUUUGCAAAUACGCAUUUCCUAGGAAAAAUAGUAGUAUAUAGGUAAUACGAAAACAAAACUGCCCACUCACUGGUAAGUCGAUGGGUCGUAACCCCCGUGACGUCCCUGGAUGUGCUCGUCCUCGGGAUAGGUGUCACCUAUAUGCGAAACAACUAUAAAAAUGUUAAUUUAAACACAUAACCAACAAUUCGAAAUAACUUCUCAUACGAUGCUCAAUUUAGGUAUAUGAAUAUACCACAUCGACCUACUCGACGUCAUGGACGUCGAGAAAUUGUUAGAUAAAUUUUUGGAGGCCGCACGCGCCCCCACGUGUUAGGAUAGGCACGGGGACACGCGCCCCCACGCGCAUCAUCCCUAACCUUGGCUCGCCGGACUGAACUUUCCGGCGGCUGGUUUCCGGCCAACUUUGAAACUCCUUGUUCUCCUUCGUUUCUCACCCAUUUUCUUCGUAUUUUAUAUCAAAAUGAAGCCCCAAACAUGUAGAAUCACGAUACACUACUUUUAAGCUCCAAAAACAACUAAAUCUCACCGGAAAAUUCCAAGCAAAACCGGCCAAAAUCGAACCUAGUGAUCCCGACGUCCAAAACCUUCAAACGAAGCACUCCGAGCUUCCUUGGGACCUCACUAAGCUCACUAUAAGCUUAGAAUUCCCUGAAACACAACAUUUCACGUGUGCAUGAACAGUGACAAAAAAUGAAGGGUUCGGGUUCACGUGAUAUCGAAGGUUCCACGUCCUAAAACUAGCAUAAAACAACUCAGAGCAUCACAAGGAUGAAGAAUCUUACCUUGGUUGCUUCGACCCAUUGAGUUUUGGAUGGUUUUGGGUCUUGUCCGUACACUUUGGGAGUGAGAGAGAGAGAGAGAGAGGAAGCCGUGAGGGAGGAGAGAGAGAGAGUGCUACGGGAAGAGAGAGAGGGCAGGGGUUUAGAUGGUCCAACAUCAAAUCCUCACCCUCCAUCAUCUAAUUCCCUAACCAAAAUUUUAUAAAACUAAAAUUUAAAUCCAAAACUUAUAUAGAAAUAAUCCAAAUAAUGUCACACACACUUACCUUAGCCCAUGCUAAGGUCAAAUCCGACAUUUCACGUCCUUAAUAAGAAAAUCUCGGGACUGGCUGUGACACUAUCCCUAUUAAUACUUGGAUGGGGUUUUUGGACCAGUUACUUGUUAUAUCCAUUUAAUUAAUUUUAUAUAUUUUACAAAAUAAUUUAUGCCAUUCAUUGUAUAUUCAAUGUUAGCCGACCCCACUUAGUGGGAAAAGGCUUUGUUGUUGUUGUAUUGUAUAUUCAAUGUAUUAACUUUCAAAUUGUUAUAACGUGCCAAUUGAAUAAUAAUAAUACUAAUUUCAUAAUUUUGUGCAAUAAAUAUAUAAGUUAAUUUACCUACCAACACAACAAUAAAUCUAAAACAGCUUCGGCUAAUACUCCAAUCUCUAAUACACAAAACAAAAGCUAUAUGUUCCACACAAUUUUUACUUACAAAAUAGUCUAAUUUACCUACUCCAUCAAACCAAAAUUUAAAGGUCUAAUUUACUUCCAAAAUGGUCUAAUUUACCCACAUGAUUUAUGUGCAUUAGAUUAAAAGUUUAUUUAAUUGCCUACAAGCACAAACCCACAACAUUCGAACAUUAUCUAAUCACUAAUUUUUUAUUUUUUUUGAAUAGGUAAAUUAAUUUCAAUGUAGGUAAAUUAGUAUAAUAUUAAUAAGUAGGUAAGUUAAUUUAAAUGUAGGUAAAUUAGUAUAAUAUUUUAUAAGUAGGUAAAUUAGUAUAAUAUUUGUAUGUAGGUAAUUACAUGAUUCAAAAUGCAGGUAAAUUAGUAUAAUAUUUUUUAAGUAGGUAAAUUAAUUUGUUUGUAGGUAAUUACAUGAUUCAAACAAUAUUAUUUUUUGCAUACAAGAUAUGUCUUUUUUUUUUUUAAUUCGGUAAAUUAAUUUAUUUAUGUUGCUAAUAUUUAUGACACAAGAAAGGUAAAAUAUCCAUAUGGAUUUAAUUGCUCAUCAUAAUUAGGGUGAGUAAUAACAUUUAUUGACCAAAUUAGGAUUUUGUGGCAUAAGUUGCAAAUGAAUUGUAAUAGUUAGUUAUAUAUUUGUCUACAUGGUAGGUUAUUUGAAAUUUAGGUUUUAUUUGAAUGUUUAAAUUUAGUUGGGUUUUUAUUUGAAAAAUAGAAGUUUCAAGGGUCUAUAUCUAAAAAAAUCUUUAGAAAAAAUAAAGAAAUAUCAGUGUUUCUCAACUGCCAGUGUCUACUUAAGACGGAAAAUAAUUGUUCUUCUUCUUCCUACUCCUCACCAUUACAGAUCAUUGAUAAAAUCAUCAAAAAAAAAAAAAAAGAAAGGAUGGGAUUUGAGAAAGAGCAUAUAGUAAUGCUGCCAUUCAUGGCUCAAGGCCAUAUCAUACCAUUCCUAUCACUUGCAAAGCAAAUCCAGCAGUCAACAAACUUCUCAAUCACCAUCGCCACCACCCCUCUCAACAUCAAAUCCCUCCAAUCCACCAUUUCCUCCGCCUCAUCCAAUCACAACAACAUCCACUUGGCCGAACUUCCCUUCUGCAGCUCAGACCACGACCUCCCCCCUAACACAGAGACCACAGAGAACCUCCCCCUCUCCAAAAUGAUCAACUUUUUAGUCGCCUCACUCAGCCUCGAACCUCCUGCUCGACGCCUUAUCACUGAUAUCAUCAAAAGGGAAGGCCGCCCGCCGCUCUGUUUGAUCUCGGACGUAUUCUUCGGAUGGGCUACCGAUCUUGCAAACAGCUUAGGCACUGUCAAUGUGAGUUUCACCACAGGCGGGGCUUACGGCACUGCAGCCUACACAUCAAUCUGGCUCAACCUCCCUCAUCGCUCCGCAAGCAGCGAAUACUUCACCGUCCCCGGCUUCCCGGAACACGGCAGGUUCCACAUCUCUCAGCUGAAUCCGUUUGUAAGAGCUGCAGACGGUACAGAAUCUUGGUCAAAAUUUUUCCAGCCCCAGAUUUCGGGUUCUACAAAAUCAUUUGGUUGGCUGUGUAAUACUGUGGAGGAAAUUGAGCCGUUGGGAUUGGAUAUCUUGAGGGAUAACUUGAAGCUUCCGGUUUGGUGCAUUGGUCCUCUAGUACCUAAUGAUGCACUCAAAAACUCAUCCGCAUUGGACUUAAAGGUCUCGAGGCAGCGCACCGGAAAAGAAAUGGGCUUUUCCGCAGAGAAAUGCCUCGAGUGGCUUGACUCGCAAGGUUCGAAUUCUGUAAUUUACAUCUCAUUUGGUUCUCAGAACACAAUCAGUGCAACCCAAAUGAUGGAAUUGGCUGUUGGGUUGGAAGAAAGCGGAAAACCUUUCGUUUGGGUGAUAAGGCCUCCGGUGGGGUUUGAUCUGAAGGGAGAGUUCAAAGCAGAGUGGCUGCCUAACGGGUUUGAGGAAAGAAUGAGUAAACGAAAACAGGGGUUGCUAGUGCACAACUGGGCACCCCAGUUGGAGAUUUUAUCACACAAAUCCACUGGCUUUUUUGUGAGCCAUUGCGGGUGGAAUUCAGUGAUGGAGAGCUUGAGCCAGGGCGUGCCGAUUGUUGGGUGGCCGUUGGCGGGGGAGCAGGCUUAUAAUUCGAAGAUGUUGGUGGAGGAGAUGGGUGUGAGUGUGGAGCUGACAAGGGGUGUGCAGAGUAAUAUUGGAUGGAAGGAGGUGAAGGAGGUGAUUGAUCUGGUGAUGGACGAGAGUGGGAACGGAGGGGAGAUGAGGAAAAAUGCAGGUGAGAUUAAGAAGAAGAUAAGAGGAUCAAUUAGAGAUAAUGAUGGUGAUCAAGGAAAGGAGAAGGGGUCUUCUGUUAAGUCAAUGGAGGAUUUUGUGGCUGCUCUUUUAUCAAAGAAACAAGAUUUGGCAAAAAUCAAUUAGAGAUGUAAUUUAUUAAUUAAUUAGUUUUUGCGUUGAAAUUUAAAGAAUAAUAUUGUCGCUUUCAAGUCAAUUGAGAGCUGAUGAUACUUGAGUAUUGACUAGUGAGUACUUAUUUCUAAUUUUGUUGAAUGAUAUUAUAAUACAUAUGCUAUUUAAAAAAAAAUGAAAUAAUGGAUAUGUCAUUUGAUCUUUCUUAGACUAUAAAAACAAAUAAUACGUUUUUUUAUUGGGCUAAAGCGGAAAUGGCCUUAAAAUUUAUAAGGGACCGUUGUACUACCAGUCAAUUGAAUGAGCUUAAAGCUCCAUAUUCUUGGUGGCAAGUGCUGCUCAAUGGUUCUCUCCCAAAGCGAAAAUGCUUGAAAAUGUUCUCGAAAGCCAAGGGAGUAGGAGCUUACCUCGUUUGAUUAUGCACUGGUGGAACCUAUACUUUACAAUAGGAAGGUGGAUUGAAUGCUCCUGGAAAGAUAAGAAUCGAUGCAACUGAGUAGCUAAAUCUAGUAAAACGCUCCAACUCAAACGAGAGGGAUACAUAAAAUAUACACUAGUAAGUACCGAAGUAUUAUCCUUUAAGAAAUUUAUAUGUUUGCGAAGCGAUAGGUUUUGUUUCAAAAUAUGUUAGGCUGUGGGGAUGACAUCCAAAGUCCAAAAAAGCCUGCACCUGGCUAAGAGGGUAGGGUUGAAACUUGGAACAAAUGCCCUCAUUACGCUUUCAUGUGCAUGCUGCAUGUCAACUUGUGAAAAUUGAAGCUAUAUGAAUUAAAGUGGAAAUUUAUUCAACCUAUUAGAAUAACCUUAGGUGCUCUUCAUAUCAUCCUCUUGAUUAGCCACUCCAUCACUGCCACAGUAUCCUAUUAGAAUAGUGUAUUCCAGCUAAUUGCCCCCUUUUUUUUCCACCAGAACUGUGUGAGCAAUCGUCCUUGGUCUUUAUAUAAAUUUACUAGCAGUUUAAAGCAAGACAUAUGUUUGGCAGUGACGAUGUUACCUCAUUAAUAAGCACCUCUUUUCUAGCUAUCCGGCGGUUAAAACUACUCUGCCCAUCCAUUAACACGAUCUGAGACUUUUCGAAGUGACUUGCUCCGAUAGUUCGUUGCCGUCAAUUCACUUCACAUCGAGAGGUUCGCUCCGGAGCUUAUGAGAUAUCAGUCAUUCCGACCAGCUCGAUCUUGUGGUCCGAAAUUCAUGGUUCCAUGAUACCCUUAAAUGCUAAAUAAUGAGACGGUAUAGAAAGUUCAUUUCUUGCUUUUGUAGAAGUAGAUAUAUUAAUUUUUUAAGGGGAACAACUUACUAGAUUCAAGACAUUUAGAGAAAUAGUUUCAAAUUGUGACGCUGAAGGUAGAAGAUGAAGUAUUCAUUUCGAGAAGUUGUCACCUAUAAUUCUACAAUGUUUUUGGAGACAGAAAUGCUAAGGAGACUCUUUUAAAGUGAGACUUUUUAUGAACUCUCCACCACCUCAUAUUUUUUGGUACAAUGUUUUGUAAUGUUGGUACGGGAAUAUUGAUACAUAACCUGAGAAAUGCAAAAUGUUUCAAAUUGUAACGUACGCUACGCAACCUGAGAAAUGCAAAAGCAUGCAUAAUAUUGAUGCAUAACUGAACUACAAACCAUAAGGGAAAAAAAACAAGAGGAAGAAACAAAAUACAUAAUUUGUUUCAACGUGACAUCCUCUUUUGUUUAUACAACAAACCUAAUUAGGCAACCUCUUUUGUUUAUACAACAAACCUAAUUAGGCAAAGAAAUGUAUCGGGUCGGGUGAUGCAUUGGCUUUUAGUAUUCUCCAAACUCCAACUUCAAAUGUGGCAAUGUCGGUAACCAUCAGAAUUUCACAGAAUACAGAGUUGGCACCGACGAUUUGUUAAAAUCCUCAAAUUUGUCACUACUCUCUACUUAGUAGUAUGAAAAAUUAAAGAAAUGACAAUUUUUUUCAAAUGCCAAUGUAAUUGAUAAAAAAGUUGAAGUACCCAGUAGUCCGGACUAUCAAAGACUAUCAAAGACUGGAAAAUAAUUAUUCUUCUUCUCCCUCUUUCUCACCAUUAUAGGUCAUUCAAAAAAUUAUCAGAAAAAAAAGGGGGAUUUGAGAAAGAGCAUAUAGUAAUGCUGCCAUUUAUGGCUCAAGGCCAUAUCAUACCAUUCCUAUCACUUGCAAAGCACAUCCAACAGUCAACAAACUUCUCAAUCACCAUCGCCACCACCCCUCUCAACAUCAAAUCCCUCCAAUCCACCAUUUCCUUUCCUCAUCCAAUCACAACAUCCACUUGGCCGAACUUCCGUUCUGCAGCUCAGACCACGACCUCCCCCCUAACACAGAAACCACAGAGAACCUCCCCCUCUCCAAAAUGAUCAACCCUCCUUUAGCCGCCUCACUCAGCCUCGAACCUCCUGCUCGCCGCCUUAUCACCAAUAUCAUCAAAAGGGAAGGCCGCUCGCUGCCCGCCGCUCUGUUUGAUCUCUGACGUGUUCUUCGGAUGGGCUACCGAUCUUGCGAAUAGCUUAGGCACUGUCAAUGUGAGUUUCAACACAAGUGACGGCUUUGCAGCCUACACAUCAGUCUGGCUCAACCUGCCUCACCGCUCCGCAAGCAACGAAUACUUCACCGUCCCCGGCUUCCCGGAACACUGCAGGUUCCACAUCUCUCAGCUGAGUUCGUUUGUAAGAGCUGCAGACGGUACAGACUCUUGGUCAAGAUUUUUCCAGUCCCAGAUUUCGCUUUCUACAAAAUCUUUUGGUUGCCUGUGUAAUACCGUGGAGGAAAUUUAGCCGUUGGGAUUGGAUAUCUUGAGGGAUAACUUGAAGGUUCAAGUUGGUGCGUUGGUCCUCUAAUUCCUACUGAUGCACUAAAAAACUCAUCCAUAUUGGACUUAAAGGUCUCGAGGCAGCGCGCGGGGAAAGCCUUUUCCGCAAAGAAAUGCCUCGACUGGCUUGACUCGCAAGGUUCGUGUUCUGUCAUUUAUAUCUCAUUUGGUUCUCAGAACACUAUCAAGGCAACCCAAAUGAUGGAAUUGGCUGUUGGGUUGGAAGAAAGCGGGAAGCCUUUCGUUUGGGUGAUAAGGCCUCCGGUGGGGUUUGAUCUAAAGGGUGAGUUCAGAGCAGAGUGGCUGCCGCACGGGUUUGAGGAAAGAAUGAGUAAACGAAAACAGGGGUUGCUAGUGCACAACUGGGCACCCCAGUUGGAGAUUUUGUCACACAAAUCCACAGG